GGAAGGGAAUCGCAUCCGGUGGUGCGCCUGGACUUCAAAUCCAGUGAGGGGCGUUAGACGUCCCUGGUGGGUUCGACUCCCACUCUCUUCCGCCA
RNAcentral lists this transfer RNA (95 nucleotides) under Alphaproteobacteria bacterium. Its description in RNAcentral is "tRNA-Sec". It matches the Rfam family "Selenocysteine transfer RNA". Lineage: Bacteria; Pseudomonadati; Pseudomonadota; Alphaproteobacteria. The record is from RNAcentral. RNAcentral also lists the same sequence under 2 other names.